GACGAACGCUGGCGGCGUGCUUAACACAUGCAAGUCGAACGGAAAGGCCCUGCUUUUGUGGGGUGCUCGAGUGGCGAACGGGUGAGUAACACGUGAGUAACCUGCCCUUGACUUUGGUAUAACUUCAGGAAACUGGGGCUAAUACCGGAUAGGAGCUCCUGUUGCAUGGUGGGGGUUGGAAAGUUUCGGCGGUUGGGGAUGGACUCGCGGCUUAUCAGCUUGUUGGUGGGGUAGUGGCUUACCAAGGCUUUGACGGGUAGCCGGCCUGAGAGGGUGACCGGCCACAUUGGGACUGAGAUACGGCCCAGACUCCUACGGGAGGCAGCAGUGGGGAAUAUUGCACAAUGGGCGGAAGCCUGAUGCAGCAACGCCGCGUGCGGGAUGACGGCCUUCGGGUUGUAAACCGCUUUCGCCUGUGACGAAGCGUGAGUGACGGUAAUGGGUAAAGAAGCACCGGCUAACUACGUG
This 468-nucleotide ribosomal RNA is filed under the name uncultured bacterium. Its description in RNAcentral is "partial 16S ribosomal RNA". It matches the Rfam family "Bacterial small subunit ribosomal RNA", at positions 28 to 507 of the family's 1533-position model. The record is from RNAcentral.